UACGAAGGGGGCUAGCGUUGCUCGGAAUCACUGGGCGUAAAGCGCACGUAGGCGGAUUUUUAAGUCAGGGGUGAAAUCCUGGAGCUCAACUCCAGAACUGCCUUUGAUACUGGGAAUCUCGAGUCCGGGAGAGGUGAGUGGAACUCCGAGUGUAGAGGUGAAAUUCGUAGAUAUUCGGAAGAACACCGGUGGCGAAGGCGGCAUCCUGGACCGAGAUUGACGCUGAGGCGCGAAAGCCAGGGGAGCAAACGGG
RNAcentral lists this ribosomal RNA (253 nucleotides) under uncultured bacterium. RNAcentral's name for it is "partial 16S ribosomal RNA". It matches the Rfam family "Bacterial small subunit ribosomal RNA", at positions 524 to 776 of the family's 1533-position model. The record is from RNAcentral.